GCGGGGACCAUCAUUUUCCUUCGCUGCCACCACCGUCUUCGUCCCAUUUUUCACCAGCUUCACAGCUCCCUCACGCCACCUUUGCCGGGCCUUCCUCCUCCUUGCGCUCGGCUCGCCCCGCUGCCCGCCUCCUCUCACCACUCCAUCAUCGCUGCCCUUCAUCGUUCCUCUAGCUAGUGGCCACAGCCAGCUCGCCGUCAUUGCCCCGCCUCGCCCCUCCGAGCUCGCCCAGUCGUUGAACUACCGCUGCCUAUUCAAGCUCCGGCCGCUGCCUGACGAGCUGUGAGUAUGUGCAUUGUGGGGUGUUGCGUGCGUGCCGGGAGCAGCGAAAGGAUGUGCGGACGUGUUCGUGUAUGUGUGCGUGAGUGAUGAGCGAGUGUAGGGUGGGAGCGCGUGAGAGUGAGGUAGGUGCAGAGUCCAAUGAGAUGGCCAGCAUGAUCGCACACAAAUGAUGGCUGGCCGAAUCCUCACCUUCUCAAGAGGAUUAGGACGUGCACAAUUUAAUUUCAAGUGUGUAUUUCAACUCCCAUACCCUAUAAGGUGGCAAAGUAAAAAUCUGAGAGUGAGAGUUAGAGUAACAAUAGAGUAGAAUCGACAAAAAAAAAAAAGAUAAGCAUGUCUAGCGAUUGUGUGUGCAUAAAGUGUAACCCCGCGGAUGUGUAGGUGUUUUGCCUAGGUGUAUCCUAGUCCCAUCAAAUGAAUGGAUCAAAUCAAGAAAAUGCCAACUUAAAUUGAC
RNAcentral lists this long non-coding RNA (736 nucleotides) under Eucalyptus grandis. RNAcentral's name for it is "long non-coding RNA (EGRA_LNC003432)". Lineage: Eukaryota; Viridiplantae; Streptophyta; Magnoliopsida; Myrtales; Myrtaceae. The record is from RNAcentral.